Molecule: ribosomal RNA, 230 nt
Filed under: uncultured bacterium
Lineage: Bacteria
Description: partial 16S ribosomal RNA
Rfam family: Bacterial small subunit ribosomal RNA
Source: RNAcentral
AAAGCGCGCGUAGGUGGUUUGUUAAGUUGAAUGUGAAAUCCCCGGGCUCAACCUGGGAACUGCAUCCAAAACUGGCAAGCUAGAGUAGGGCAGAGGGUGGUGGAAUUUCCUGUGUAGCGGUGAAAUGCGUAGAUAUAGGAAGGAACACCAGUGGCGAAGGCGACCACCUGGGCUCAUACUGACACUGAGGUGCGAAAGCGUGGGGAGCAAACAGGAUUAGAUACCCCAGU